UAAGGAAUAUUCCACAAUGGGCGAGAGCCUGAUGGAGCGACGCCGCGUGAGCGAAGAAGCACUUCGGUGUGUAAAGCUCUUUUCUCGGGGAUGAAACGGACAGUACCCGAGGAAUAAGCCCCGGCUAACUACGUGCCAGCAGCCGCGGUAAUACGUAGGGGGCAAGCGUUGUCCGGAUUUACUGGGCGUAAAGCGCGUGUAGGCGGUUGAGUAAGUCUGCUGUGAAAUCUCCGGGCUUAACCUGGAGGGGUCGGUGGAAACUGCUCGACUUGAGGACGGUAGAGGGGGGUGGAAUUCCCGGUGUAGUGGUGAAAUGCGUAGAGAUCGGGAGGAACACCAGCGGCGAAGGCGGCCCCCUGGGCCGCUCCUGACGCUGAUACGCGAAGGCCAGGGUAGCGAACGG
Molecule: ribosomal RNA, 403 nt
Filed under: uncultured bacterium
Lineage: Bacteria
Description: bacterial SSU rRNA
Rfam family: Bacterial small subunit ribosomal RNA
Source: RNAcentral